Molecule: unclassified non-coding RNA, 1903 nt
Filed under: Hevea brasiliensis (rubber tree)
Lineage: Eukaryota; Viridiplantae; Streptophyta; Magnoliopsida; Malpighiales; Euphorbiaceae
Source: RNAcentral
AUGGAAUAGAAAUUGAAGAGAAUAUUAUGACUCUUUUCAAAACCCUCCUAAAACCACUUUUUCGCUCAUCUCUAUCCUCUGAGUUCAGAGAAUGGAAUCUCUUUCAAGUUCAGUGUUCAUCUCCAGAUUCCCAGAAACAUACCCAACUAUCAACACCCCAUCUUCUUCUACUACUUCUUCUCCUUCUUUGUCAGUAAUCAAGUUAUUGAAUAAUCCAGUUGGGUCUCUCAAACUUGCCCAAACUGCACGUUUUCCCAGCCCUUGCGUUCACGCUGUCGCCAGUGAGGUAUCGGGAGGGGAAGAGGAAGAUCAGAGGCCCUUAAAUAAUGGGUUUGGCUUUGUUUCUGAUGAUACCCUUUCUUUGUCUCAGGAUAAUUUAAAGCAGAAUAAAAGCAUUGAAAAGAAUGCAGAGAAAAUAGUAAAGGUGGAGACACCUUUGGUGGUUCCGCAUGGAAGUGGAACUGGUGGGGGAACCAGAGCUGGACUUUUUAGAACUCCAAUUUCUGGUGGGGUGCAGAGUGCAACCUCAGCUCAUGGCUUACCUCGACCAGCAUUGGCAGUUCGCAAUUUGAUGGAGCAGGUGAAUUUUGUUUUUUGGUUACCAUACACAAUCAUCUCUUGCAAUAUGUUUGACUAGUCGUCUUGAUGUAGUAGUUCUAAUCUAUCUUGCUUUGUAAGUAAGGCUAGAUUUGCUCAUCUAUGCACUGUAAUGUCUCGAAUGCAUCAUCGAAGAGAAGGAUAUCCAUUUGGUUCCCUGGUUGACUUUGCACCAGAUUCAAUGGGACGUAAGUUUUCAAAAUUUUCAGUGCUUUGCCAAUGAAUACCAAAAGAAAAGUUGAUGCGAUAUUGUAUGAUGUGAUGUGAUUUUUCAAUCUCAUACUCGUGAAAUUUUGUGGAUUAUAAAUCAUGUCCUUUAUAUGUUUCUACUCUUUGUAAAUUUCAUGUUUAUUUUAUUUGGCUAAAAAAUUUAAUAUAUUUGUAAGAGCCCUAUUAAGAUGGCUUUUAUUCUGCUAUGUUUGGCCCAUGACUUUCAUAUUCAACAAUGAUUUAAAAAUAUAAUAAUGCAUUUGAUAGUUUAUGUAUUUGUUCAUGGCAUAAUUGAUUUCCAUAGUUGCUGUUCUCAAUCUGCAGAUCCCUUAUUUUCAUUUUCUCCAUUGGCCAUCCACUCACGAAACUUGUUAGCAGACCCUAGAUGCACGCUUGUUGUGCAGAUACCUGGAUGGAGUGGCUUGUCAAAUGCAAGGGUCACAAUCUUUGGUGAUGUCUUCCCACUUCCAGAACAUCAACAGGAGUGGGCUCAUAAGCAGUAUAUUGCAAAACAUCAACAAGGGCCUUCUCAGCAGUGGGGGAAUUUCUACUACUUCAGGAUGGAGAAUAUAAGUGACAUAUACUUUAUUGGAGGCUUUGGCACUGUUGCUUGGGUUGAUGUUAAUGAAUAUGAGGCCCUUCAGCCUGAUAAAAUUGCAGUUGAUGGAGGGGAGCAAAAUCUUAAGGAACUCAAUGCAAUCUUCUCAAAGCCCCUUAAAGAGCUGUUGUCCACCGAAACAGAGGUGGAUGAUGCUGCUCUGAUAUCAAUAGACAGCAAAGGAAUCGAUAUUCGGGUCCGUCAAGGUGCACAGUUCAAUGUACAGCGGUUAUCAUUUGAAGAGGGGCAUGCAGUUGAAACAUUAGAGGAAGCUAAGGAUGCUCUAUGGAAGCUAAUAAAUAAAGGCCAAGUACACAAUUUGCACAAAUAAAAAUUUGAUGGCGCAUUGUUCUUCUUGAGCUUCUUCUUGUGUUUUUAAUGGCUAACUUACUCUAGUUUAUAUUUACUAGAAUCACUCAGUUUUGCUUCUGUAUUAAUAAAGUUGCUAUAGCUUUUGUGAAAAUUUGCUAAAUUUAGUAAGGUUUAUUAUUGUUAAAU